This 484-nucleotide ribosomal RNA is filed under the name uncultured bacterium. RNAcentral describes it as "partial 16S ribosomal RNA". It matches the Rfam family "Bacterial small subunit ribosomal RNA", at positions 29 to 507 of the family's 1533-position model. The record is from RNAcentral.
AGUGAACGCUGGCGGCAGGCCUAACACAUGCAAGUCGAGCGGCAGCAGAGUACUUGCUCGUGCAUUCGGGUGCGGACUGGCGAGUAAUUCCGGGGAACAUCCCAGUCAGCUUGUUCGAACGGCCGGACGUGGGCGCUAAUACGGCAUUCGCGCAUACGACGUAAGUGGGAAAUCUUCGGACCUUACGCUAUCGCACGAGCCUAGGUCGGAUUAGCUAGUUGGUGGGGUAAAGGCCUACCAAGGCGACGAUCCGUAGCUGGUCUGAGAGGAUGAUCAGUCACACUGGAACUGAGACACGGUCCAGACUCCUACGGGAGGCAGCAGUGGGGAAUAUUGGACAAUGGGCGCAAGCCUGAUCCAGCCAUGCCGCGUGUGUGAAGAAGGUCUUCGGAUUGUAAAGCCCUUUUGGUGGGGAAGAAAAGCAGUAGGUUAAUACCCCGCUGUUCUGACGUUACCCACAGAAUAAGCACCGGCUAACUUCGUG